RNAcentral lists this long non-coding RNA (1086 nucleotides) under Homo sapiens (human). RNAcentral describes it as "HSALNT0325136". Lineage: Eukaryota; Metazoa; Chordata; Mammalia; Primates; Hominidae. The record is from RNAcentral.
GGCCUAGGAACCAUACUCCCAUCUGUCAUGGCAGCUGCAGCAAGCCUCACCCAAGGAGAGUCUGGCUGGAGGCCAAACAACACAAAACCAGCACACUUAACAAAAAUAUAACCAAUGACCCUUGCAGAGUCCACUUAACUCCCCUCCACCAGAGCAGGUGCUGGUAUCCACAGCUGAGAGACCUGAAGAUGGAUCACAUCACAGGACUCCUUGCAGACAUUCUCCAGUACCAGCCCAGAGCCUGGUAGGUCUGUUGGGUGGCUAGACCAGUAUUCUAAGUGAAGUAACUCGGAAAUGGAAAACCAAACAUCAUCUGUUCUCACUCAUCAGUAGGAGCUAAGCUAUGAGAACACAAAGACCUGUCCACGCUGAGUUUAUAGCAACUGUCAAUUACGGUUCAGAUUUUCCUACCCCAGCGUGACUUUCCAAAGAGGCUUCUGCUCAUGGAUUUCUGCUCCAGGAAGAUGCAACAGGAAGGUCCUCACAAGAUGGCUGAACAGAUGCAGGUGCUGUGCCUCUGGACUGCCUAGCCUCCAGAACUGAUACAUAUGCAGGAUGUGCAGCUUUGUUACACAGGAGGUGUUGGAAGCUGUGAAUGUGGAUGAAAGUACCAAUAUAGAGAGAACAGAGUGAGAAUAGAAGACAGCCCAAGAAUCUAAAGUCAUGCACUUGCAAGGGAGUCAGAGGAAGAGAGAUACUUUUGGCUCGGUGAAUGGUGCUUAUCAGUUAACAGCAGAAACCCUCCUGAAAUGGAAAAUGGUUCAUUGUUUCCAUCAUGUACUCUAUGGAAUACAAAGCUCUGAAACCUGUUGGCUACUGGAAGUGUACAAGAAAAAGACUCUCAAGCUAGAGGUGGGGUAGAGCUGGAGCCAGCCAUGUCAAGAUCUUUCGAGGACAUGAACAUUUUUUAUGCUUAUUAAAAGAUGAUGUGGUUUUAAAAUAAAUCUAAGGCUGGGCGCAGUGGCUCAUGCCUGGAAUCCCAGCAGUUUGGGAGGCUGAGGCGGGUGGAUUGCUUGAGCUCAGUAAUUCAAGACCAGCCUGGGCAACAUGGCAAGAAACUCUCUCUACUAAAAACAGAAAAAUUAA